AGGGGAUGGCGGCGUCAAGUCGGGCGGGCACUGGAGGUGGUGGCGGAGAGGCAGGUGGCAGGGGCGAGCCCGGCGGAGCGGAGGUCCGGGCCUCUGGAGCCCCGCGUCGAGGCGAGACGGUCAUCCCGGAAGGUUGAGCCCAGGCAUACUCUGAUGCUGGGCUGAUGAUAAGAGGCCCGGAGCCUGAAAUUGGAUGCUGACCCUGCUGAACAUUGAUGAAACAGAGAUGGCACACCAAGAUGGCAUGACCUCUCUGAGAAAAUAGCCCCUCAGAGCUUGUGAGGGACUUUCGGACAGUUUUCAUCCAUCUGGAAGCUGUCACGAUGACCCUGACAAAAGGUUCCUUCACCUACUCCAGUGGGGAGGAGUAUCGUGGCGAGUGGAAGGAGGGCCGCAGACAUGGUUUUGGUCAACUGAUGUUUGCUGAUGGUGGCACCUACCUGGGCCAUUUUGAAAAUGGGCUCUUUAAUGGUUUUGGGGUACUGACCUUCUCAGACGGCUCGAGGUAUGAGGGCGAGUUUGCCCAGGGCAAGUUCAACGGUGUCGGAGUCUUCAUUCGACACGACAACAUGACCUUCGAAGGGGAAUUUAAAAACGGCCGCGUGGACGGUUUGGGCCUGCUGACUUUCCCCGACGGUUCUCAUGGAAUACCCCGAAACGAAGGUCUGUUUGAGAAUAACAAGCUCUUGCGGCGUGAAAAGUGCCCCGCAGUGGUUCAGCGGGCCCAGAGCGCCUCCAAGUCAGCCAGGAGCCUCGCGGCCUGAGGGCGCCACGCCCAGCUGACCAGGAACCAGGAGGGCCCUGCCACCCGCUCGAGGUGAACCAACAGACCGAUGUGAAAGGAGAUUUGAAUGACCUGGGAGCGGAAGCCCUGGGAGUGGCCCCAUCACCUGCCAGGCAGGGCUUCGAUCUCAGGCGGGAGGCCCCUGCAGCUGCAGUUACCUGCUCUGUCCUUCCCCUCUCUUGCUCGUUGGGUCUCUCCAUCCCUAACACUCUGGUCCCCCAGCACAGACCAGCUGCUGCCUUCCUCCCACUUCCUUUUCUGCCGAGUGAUGCAGAAUCUCUCCCUUCUGCUUCUUAUUGGGGCAGAUGAUCCCAGCCCCAGAUCAGGGCCAGGGCUUUGUGCCGCCCUGGAAAGAAAGAAGGGAAACGACAGGGGCAGCUUAGACAUACAUCACUGUGGUCCUGUGAAAGUCAAGGCCACAGCUUUUCUGUCUCUUACUCCCUGGUUCGCUUCUGGUGGCCGUGGUGGCCCCAGGCUUCUCCCUUGUCUGACCAGACCAGUACUCGUGUCCGCCUCCUGCUCCUGUGGGUUCCGUGAAGUGCUCCUUCCCUCACCCUUGACUUUACCCGCUGUCUUCCUUACCUGAGUUCCAGCAGAUCAUUUGGGCCCCUUUUUCCUUCCUUAGACCUGGGACAGGAUCCCUCUAGUCAAAAAGAAACGGAUGUAAACAGUCACUGUAUGAGUUUGUCACUUACUUCGGGGCAAAGAGCAGACAUCUCUGGACAGCGUCAGGCCCUAUCACAGAGUGACCUGAAUCCUUAGGAGUGGCUUGGGCCGACAUGGAUCCUUCCCACUGGACCAGUAGGUCAGGCCCACCUCAACCCCUUGGCGUUCAGGUAGAAUUGGACCCAUGCUGGACGGCAGUGAACUAAAGAGCGUUGGGUUCACUGGAACUCUCCCACCGUGAGCCUUGGCCAUCGGGCCUCAGGAUCAGAUCUUGACCAAUAGGAUCCCUGCACAGUUCAUCACAGGGGCCUCCCAUGACCCUGUGACCCAAACACACCCCCACCCCCACCCCCAGCCCCUGAUCCUCACGCUCAGUGUCCCCUCCACAUAGAUUGUGGUGGAAAUUAUAGCUGUGUGCCUCUGUUUAUUCUCUGACUUGUACUGUAGAAACAAGUGUUUAUGAGGAAUAAACAAAU
RNAcentral lists this long non-coding RNA (1926 nucleotides) under Sus scrofa (pig). Its description in RNAcentral is "lncRNA (ENSSSCG00035016791.1)". The record is from RNAcentral. Lineage: Eukaryota; Metazoa; Chordata; Mammalia; Artiodactyla; Suidae.